UGGCCAAGUGGUAAGGCGGCGGGUUUUGGUCCUGUUACUCGAAGGUUCGAAUCCUUU
RNAcentral lists this transfer RNA (57 nucleotides) under Hordeum vulgare subsp. vulgare (domesticated barley). It matches the Rfam family "tRNA", at positions 8 to 63 of the family's 71-position model. From Rfam's summary of the family: Transfer RNA (tRNA) molecules are approximately 80 nucleotides in length. Their secondary structure includes four short double-helical elements and three loops (D, anti-codon, and T loops). Further hydrogen bonds mediate the characteristic L-shaped molecular structure. tRNAs have two regions of fundamental functional importance: the anti-codon, which is responsible for specific mRNA codon recognition, and the 3' end, to which the tRNAs corresponding amino acid is attached (by aminoacyl-tRNA synthetases). tRNAs cope with the degeneracy of the genetic code in two manners: having more than one tRNA (with a specific anti-codon) for a particular amino acid; and 'wobble' base-pairing, i.e. permitting non-standard base-pairing at the 3rd anti-codon position. Lineage: Eukaryota; Viridiplantae; Streptophyta; Magnoliopsida; Poales; Poaceae. The record is from Rfam by way of RNAcentral.